RNAcentral lists this unclassified non-coding RNA (19 nucleotides) under synthetic construct. The record is from RNAcentral.
UUCUCCGAACGUGUCACGU